UUCCAUCGCGUUUUUUUACUCUGCACACAAACGUACGCACACACGCGCCGCUCUCCCUUCGCCCCCUCCACCCACUUACCCCCCCCCUACUCCCUCCCUCCCAAGUCUCCUACCUACCUAGAGGGGCUUUCGAAAGUGUCACUCUACACCCACACGUGUUUCCUUGGCAAUCUCACGUGCGCAAAAUCGUCCACCCUAACACUCUCUCGCUCGGACGAGAGAGAUUUGGUUACGGCAGGGUGCUCAUUACUUGGGUUUCUCUGAAAGGUGAAGGCAUGUGAUGUUUGGGGUUUGAGCUGCGCCGCCGUUUGUUGCCCCCGUGUGCAUGUCUACUUUCAUGUGUGCCUGUGUCUUUUUCGUGAAGCGUUCAUCAGCAGUUGUACCGUAUCAUGUUCUCUGUUUCCGAGCACCGGCUGCCAUGCGACGCCCUGUACUCGCGCAUUAGCGCCAGUCGCUCCAAACCCCUUGUGGGUUUCGGCGGCCGCGACGCCUCUAUCCACGUCUACCCAUUCAUGGGAUAUACGCGGACUGCCUGGCUGCAGGGUCUAUCUGAGCCUAUCACAGCCCUCGGCUUUGACCCGGACCAGACGUCCGUGGUGGGCGGAAGCGACGCCGGCAAGCUGCAAAUGUGGGACAUCGGCUCUGAGGAGGUGGUGCGUGUCUUCACGCGCGGCCACGCCUCCACCGUGACCGACAUCGAUGUCUUCCGCAGCGGGCAGUUCUUUGCGACCGUUUCAACGGAUAGGAUACUGCGCAUCUGGGAUGUGCGAAAGUCGUCUGGCCGGCAGUCCUACAAGGAUGCCACCGCUCCAUUAUGUGCCGUGCAAUUCUCGCCGAACGGCCGGUGGGUGGCCACCGGGUGUGCGCGCGGUAUUGUGCGACUCUACGACCUCGUCGCUGGUAAGAUUGUCCACAAGUUCGAACUGCACACCGGCGCCAUCACGAGUCUCCACUUCCACCCGGACUUGUACUAUUUAGUGGUGGGCAGCGGUGACGGUACGGUGUCGGUGUGGGAUCUAGACUCCUUCGAGACGCGGUUCCACAGCAGCAGCCAGCACACACCCAUCGAUGCCGUCCACUUCAGCGGCACGCGCCUCCUCGCUACAUCGGAUCACAACCUGCGUAUCUUCGAUACGUCGAACCUUAGUGACCGCACGGCAGUGUCGCUGGAGGCGCCGUGGAUUAUGAUGGGUGACGUAGCCUACGCAAGCGCCACGGACGAAGCCUGGUUCGUGGAAACGGCCGGAGCGACGGCAAUGAAGUGCAAGUUGUCCUUGCGCGACAUCCGCCGUCCCGGCGAAGAGGCGCCUCGCGCGGCAGCGGCGCCACCCGCAUCUGCUCUAUUGCCUGCCUCGCCCUCCCAGCGAGUCCCGGUGGCGACGCUGAACAGCAACAGUUCGAUCUUCGCGGAUGCGCGAAAGAAACCUGCAAAUGGGUCUCGGCUCAGCCCAAUGGACUCACCGGCGAAAACAACGGAAAAUGACAUGGCGGAAAAGGAGUUGCGCGCGGAGACGUCGGCACCGACGGCUUCGACCCUGCCACGGCCAGCAUUCAGUAGCGGUGGACCAUCUUUCCCACCGAGAUCCGCCCCGCCGUCGAGUGCAGGCGAUUCAGAGCUACAGAUGGUACAGCAGCUGCGUCACGAGCACGGCACUGCCUCUACCACGCUGCAGAGGCGGCUCAACACUCUGCGCACUGUGCGCACGCUCUGGAUGCAGAACCAGCCUGAGGCAAUGGCGCAUGUGAGGCGGCUCUACGACGAGGGGCAGGAGUUUGGCCCGCUCUUCGAUCUUCUAACCGUGCUGCAGCAGCCUCGCAUGAAGGAGAAGUUGCUCACAGAGUCCAUCGCUACUUUUUUGGACCUCGUCGAGAUCGCUCUCAAGACGGACUACGAGCCGCUGAUCUUGUUAGGACUGCGCACGCUUCGCAGCAUUUCCACGAAGUUCCGCGCAAGGAUGGAGGAGGCACAGCGGCGGGCGCGCGCGUCGCAGAGCACAGGCUACAACGAUCCGCUCGGCAUGAGUCAGCAUCAGCGCAUAACACAGAAGUUGCAUAAUUGCUGCCCGGUCGUCUUUGCGCUAGCGGAGCGCUGCGAUGGCGUCGGAGAGGAGGCUAGGGCAGUCCUGCCAGACAUGCCGCCGCCGCCGCGCACUCAAUAGACGUGUCCGACUGGUUGUCCUGGGCAGGGGGUACCUUCUAGCGGAAGAGCACGGAGCAGUACCGAUACCGCCACCAGCAGGCAGUCGCUGUGCCGCUGCCGCUCGUCUGCUUCUUCUUUUUUUUUGUCUCCUCCAUUGGUGUACAUUUGUGAGACGUUUUUUUUUCUGACUUCACGUGCGCUUGGUUGCUUCUUUUUGGAUGGAGUUGGAUGACUGCUGCUCAGCGAUGUAUCUCCCUGCACUUUGAUUUAUCGUGUCGCUCUAGGUGAUGGUGUGUACAGCGGUGCAAUUCCCUAGUUCCGACCCUCGGUCCCAUGCUAUUGUUCCUCUCCCUUGUUUCUCCACCACAGAAGCGCUGUAUUAUGUCCUCCUCGUAUUUAUUUCUGUGGGUGUGGGUGGGUGGGUGCAGUCGUCCGUGCUCAGUGCACCUCUCUUCACGUCUCAUUCCUUUCUUUAGAUCUCUUUGCUGAUUUGCGCACACGGGUAGGUGGGUGUGUCCGCUCGUCUUUUGUUUUGGUGCCGUGCUGAUGCCUUUCUCUUUCACUUCGCCGGUGUGUCGUUCCCCCCCCCUCCUCCUCCUUCGACCACGUCCUGUUCUCGUUCUCUCCUUUUUCACAUAUAUAUAUAUAUAUGUAUUGGUUAGAGCACACACACACACCACACGUGCGCGCCCCCCUCAUCCCCACCUCUCACCCCGACCUCACUCCUGCCUCUUUGUCUGGGAGCUGCCAUGAUGGCCCCAUCCCCCACUUCUCUUUUGUUCGCCGUAGCGGAGAUUUGGAUGUCGGCUUGCCAAGUACCGGAACGCAACGG
RNAcentral lists this unclassified non-coding RNA (2972 nucleotides) under Leishmania donovani. RNAcentral's name for it is "gene:LdHU3.35.6240(CDS-product:katanin_putative)". Lineage: Eukaryota; Euglenozoa; Kinetoplastea; Trypanosomatida; Trypanosomatidae. The record is from RNAcentral.